GCCUGAGAAUUUGCAUUUCUAACAAGUUCCCAGGUGAGGCUGAUGCUGCUGGUCAGGGGACCCACUUGGAGACCCACCUUUGAUCUGUCGGACUGGGCCUUUCAAUACUGCAGCCACACAUGGCUGUUGAGCACUUGGAUGAGGCCAGGCUGAAACGAGAUGUGCUCUAGGUGCAAAAUACACAUUGGACUUUAAAGACAUCACACAAAAAGAAUGUAAACUCUCUCUCUACUAAUUUCAUAUGAAUUACAUGGUAAAAUGAUAAUAGUUUGGAUAUAUUAGGUUAAAUAUUAUUAUUGAAAUUGAUAUCACCUGUUCAUUUCUAUUUUUUAAUGUGGCUACUGGGAAAUUUAAAAUUACAUGUAUGGCUUGAAUUGUAUUUCUACUGGACAGCUUUGUAACAGACAAUUAAAAGAAGAUAUCAAACUGUAAAAAAGAAGUUUAAUACUUGAGAUUAGAAAUUUGAAUGCUGCAUGAAUGUAUGAUGAUAUUAAGGAAUUAUGUUUUAAUAAAUUUUUAAUUUUAGAAUAGUUUUAGAUUUACAGAAAAGUUGCUAAGAUAGUAGAGAGAUUAUUCCCCCUAUUGUUAGUAUCUUAUAUUAUGGUACAUUUGCAGCAGCUAAUGGAUCAAUGCUGACACAUUAUUAUUAACUAAAGCCCAUACUGUAUUCAGAUUUCCUUACUUUUUACCUUUUUCUGCUCCAGGAUCCCCUAUUAUGUUCAGUCAUCACGUCUCCUUGGGCUUCUCUAGUCGGUGACAGUUUCUCAGACUUUCCUUGUAUUUGAUGACCUUGGCAGUUUUGAGGAGUACUGGUCAGUAUUUUGUAGACUGUUCCACAAUUGGGAUUUUUCUGAUGAUUUUCCUCAUGAUGAGACUGGGGUUAUGGGUUUUGGGGAGGAAGACCACAGAGGCGAAGUGCCCUUCUCAUCGCAUGCUGUCAAUGACACGUGCUGUCAACAUGACUUCUCACUGUUGCUGUUGACCUUGGUCACCUGGCUGAGGUAGUGUUUGUCAGGUCUCUCCACUGCAAAGCCCCUUUCCCCCCUUUCCACACUGUCCUCUUUGGGAGGAAGUCUGUAUGCACGGCCCACACCUGAGGACUGGAGUAAUGCGCCCCCUCCUCGAGGGUGAGUAGCUACAUCAUUUGGGAUUCUUCUGCACAGAUUUGUCCAUUCUCCCCAUUUGUUCACUUAAUCAUUUGUUGACAGCAGUAAUGGACUCAAGGAUAUCUAUUUUAUGCUUUGGGUUAUAAUCCAGUCCUACUUUAUUUUGUUGCUCAAAUCGUUCCAGAUUUGGCCAUUGGGAGCUUUUUCAGUUGGCUCCUACGUCCCUUUGACAUAGCUCAUCAUUGUGCUUUUCUGAAGAUACCCUUCUGACACUACAAGAUACUCCAUACUCAUGUUUCUUCCCUGUCCCAGUCCUAGAAUCAGUCAUUUCUCCAAGGAGCUCUGGUUCCUUUUAUUAGAGAAUGCUGUUAGAAAUGAACUAUUAAUUUUUAAAGUGUGAUAAUGGUAUGGUUACUUUUUUUAAAAGAUUCUUUUAUCUUUUAGAUAUACGAAAUGAUCUAUUUAUAGAUUAAGUGAUGUAUCAGAUUUGCUUCAAAACAAGGAAAUGGGAGAUGAGAUGUGGGUGCUAGUGUGGAUGAAACAAGAUAGGUCGUGUGCUGAUAAUUAUUGAAGCUGGGUGAUGAGGGGUUUACUAUUCUGUUUUUACAUGUACUUGAAAUGUACUACAAUUAAGGUUUUUUUUAAAAAAAGAAGGGAAUAGUUGAUAGAGCUAAUAUUUGCUCAUGGAAUCAAGUGUUUUAUGGGAGAACAAAGAACGAGCAAAACUUUGACCUUCUAUAUUUUUAUUUUUAAAUUCCAAUUCCAAAGCAUUAAAAAGGUGGCCUCUAAAUUGGAAAGAAAAAUAUUAGCCUGGCUCCAUAAAAAUGGAACCACCCAGCAAUUGGUUUGGAGACAUACGAUACAAAUCAUCUGCAGGACAUAGGACAGCUUUAUUAAAACUUGUUUUAUAUGUUUACAGCUCAUACUUAGAUCUUCAGAUCCAAGUUAAACACACAGGCACACACGCAAAACACUGACAGAUUUAUUUAAAGAACGUGGUUUGUGUCCUUGACAAAUCAUUCAGUAUAUUCAUAAAGAUUAAGCUUUUUCAAUUCUUCUACGAAAAGGUCAAAAUUUCUGAGCCUGUCUCUCUUUACCAUGAGAGUCCUCUGGAUCACCUGUCCUCCAUUACUGUUCAAACAUAUCUGAGAUGCUCCAUAACAAUGGUGGGGAGCCACACUGGGUUAGUGAAGUACAAACCUCAGUAAAAAUUAGUUUAUUUUAAACUGGGAGAUGUACUCUAAAUGGCCAUGUUGUUAAGAAGGAAUUUUACUUUUAUGUUAUUUUCUUUAUUCAACCAACAUCUAAGUUUCUAUUAUGUAGAAGACACUAUGCUAUCCUGGGAAUACAAAAAUAAAGUACCAGCCCUGGAAGUGCUCAUAGGGAAGAAAUUUAGCAUUUGCAAAAUGGCAUCUGGCAGCAAACAGGGAAACAACAGACUGGGGAGCCCAGAUGACCCGCGAGAGCUGUGAGAGGUAGGAUGCAUGGGACCUGGUGACCUCAGGGCUGCAGGGUCUGUGGAAAAUGAUGAGCUGAAGCUGACACUGGCAGUCACUCUGCCAGGUGCCUGGAUGCGUGGGCAGGCGAGGGCGCUGUUAAGAACGCAAGGAUUUGAGAGCAGUAGAUUGGCCAAGAGAAGAUGAGAAAAGAUUUAGGUGUGAUGAGUAUGAAAUGCCUAUGGGCUUGGAGGUAGGAGACAUCAGAGGACAUCUGGAUAUACAGGCCUAGAACUCAAGGAGAAAGUUCAGGAAAGAAGUUGUGGCUACAAAGGUACGAGUGGUUAUUGUUUUUGUUGUUAGUGUCAGAAGUAUCACAUUAACUUCCAAUUUUAUGUCCCAGACUGUAGCCUGUACUGUUUUCUGUAAUUCAAAGUGUUCUAUGUAGCUUAGUACGUACUCAAUUUUGUAAAAGUUCCACGGAUUCCUAAAAACAGUGUAUUCUCUUUUUGAAUCCAAUGUCUAUCAAUAAGGUCAAUAUCUGCCCUUUAAUUUUGCUUAGGCCGAAAGCUGAAAAGCACAAGUCUUUUUUUCUACUGCAUUUCUAUUAAACUAUUCAUAUGGUCUAUCUGGUUUUGCUUCUACUUUGUGAUUCUGUGUAAUUGAUCAUACACUAGUGCACACACUGUCUUCCCUGUACUUGUCCCUCUUACCAACGUGACGACUCCUGAUGCACUGACUGCUUCUUGCCUGUGAUUGUACCUUGCUAGGAUCAGUAUUAUCACCGUGGCCUACUUUUUAUUUGCAGAGCAAUUCCUGUCCAGUACUUCAGUUUUAAUGUUUAAAGGUAGGCAAAAGCAUAUGAUUGUUUUUCAAAUAAAUCCUUGAAUCUGUUCGAUAUAUUUACACAUAGUUAUCAAGUUAACUUGGUCUUCUGACGUAUGUUAUGCACUUUUUAUGUUUUUGCUGUUUCUACCACCCACUAAAUGGCAAUGUGUUUUCCUUUUAUCUUGAGCAGUGAUUUGAACAUGAUAUGGCCUGUGUUUUUGUAAUUAAACAAUUAUUAUAAAAGCAAUACAUGGCAGAAAAUAAGAUAAGCAAAAUGAAGUGAAACAUAUCCAGAAGCCCACCCAUCCAGAGAUGCCCACUGUAAACGUUUGUAUAUUAUCUUCCAAACCAGCUCCUAGACAUGUAAAUGCAUACACAAAUGCACAAACACAAUAGAAUCCUCUAGAGAAGUCAUGCUACACAUCUGCUUCUGUGACUGACUUUGAGCAACAUAUCAUGAAUGUCUUUCCGUGUAAAUAAAUCUCCUCCACUUAAUUUUGAAAGUUCCCUUCUUGUGGACCUGUUCAGGCCUUAGACAUGUUUUCAAGCUGCCCUCUGGACAGUUUGUAGCAAAUUUACUUCUCAUCACCAUGAAUACUUACUAUUGUUUUUGACCUUUGCUAAUUUGAUAAAAGGUGAAGGAUAACAUGCAUCCUGUUUUGAUUUGUACUUGUUUAAUUACCAGUCAAGUUGAACAUUUUCAUGUUUUCUUAACAUUUAUCUUUAAGGAUAUAACAUAUGAUAAAAGUGAUUUCUUUUUUUUUUCUAUUUGGGAAAAGACGGAUUGUUCAGUAAAUGAUGUGGGAACAACUGAUUUACCACAAGGGAAAAAGAUUAAGGUUUUCAAUAAAAUGACGGCCAGAUAUAUUUAUGACAUCUUAAAAAGAAACCGACAAUUCUUCUAGAAGAGCCACUGGCAUGUACUCAUAGAUGCUCACCCCCGCUCAGUGUCCUCGGCCUUCAACUAUACACACCUCCCUUCAUCCCUGGCCUGCAUCAUCCUUCUGGUCUUGGCUGAAAUGACACUUCCUGAGGCAAGUUGCUCAUGAUGCUCUCCACCAGGUAAAGGUCAUCCGGUGUACCUGUGUGGCUACUUGACAUGUGCCACAUUCCCAGAUAGAUAGUAAGCUGCCUAAGAUCAGGGAUCUCGCCUGUCUGGUUUACUCAUAUAUACUCGGUUGCCUGCCAAUUAUUUUGUACUUUUCUGGGGCACUUUCUCCUACCUCCACUUUUUAAAAUACAUUAAAAAACAAAUACUAUUCCCAGCAAUGUGCUCCUACAGGGCCCUUCUUGUUUCAGCUCCCACCUAUAGUGCUGGGCCUGUGGGAUCCAGGUGCGAGACGCACAAACCCACCUCCAAGAACAGCAUCUGUCUCCUCUGCCCCCUUCCCUACGGUUUGCUGCGUGAUUUGGAAUUGACGUAGGCUGGAUGAAAAAGCAAGAGGUGGGGCACGGCCAAGCCCAGUGUGACCGUACUGCACAGAAUCUGAAGACGCCCUGGACUGUAAACCCCCCCAGAAAGCAGAUAUGUUCAUGCAUGGGGGAAAAGUACAUCUUAAAAUUGACGGCAUGGGUAUUUCUCACUCCAACUUCAGGGACCUUAGAGUUAGGAGGAAUAUUUCCCAAACCUCUAGCAAAAGCUAGCCUGCCCAUCUUAGUUUUCUGAGGUACCAGGCACCUUCAUCACUUUCAUUUUCUUACAGGUAAAUAGUGAGAAGCCAAGAAUGAGCGAUUCAAUGGCUACUAGCAAGAUGUCAUGUUAAAACAGAUGACAGGAUCACCAUGUAUGAUCAAGACUGCUGUUUCCCAAAGAGCCAUUUUCUUGUCUUCCUGGACCCACAGACUACUUUUCUGGUCACCAUUACAGUCUGGUGUGGCCACGUGACUGAGCCUCAGUCAAUGGAAUGGGAACAGAAGUGAUGUGUGCCAUUUCCCCUGCCACCUGGAAUCAGAGGAUCCCAAGGCCCUAGAGGAAGGUGGAGGGACAAGAUGGAAGGAGCCUGGGUCCCCAGAUCACCACAGGGAAGUGGGACAUCUGCUUUGGAUUGUGAGCAAGAAAUACCCUUCUACUGUAUUUGAGACACAAUAUAUUUUGGGUCUAUUAGUGCCAACAGCCUAGGGUGUCCUAAGACAUCAUGGAGCCUCCCCAAACACCCUGACCUUGCAGAUACUUUAUCUGCAGCACUUCAACAAGAGGAAAACUGGGAGAGAGGGUGUUGCACAAAAGAUCCAGUUCCAAAACCCAGUCUAGCUUCUCGUGUAACAAUAAAAUCAAGUAAAAUCAAA
Non-coding RNA from Equus caballus (horse), 5656 nucleotides. The record is from RefSeq and is a predicted model, not a curated record. Lineage: Eukaryota; Metazoa; Chordata; Mammalia; Perissodactyla; Equidae.